This 497-nucleotide ribosomal RNA is filed under the name uncultured bacterium. Its description in RNAcentral is "partial 16S ribosomal RNA". It matches the Rfam family "Bacterial small subunit ribosomal RNA", at positions 28 to 507 of the family's 1533-position model. The record is from RNAcentral.
GAUGAACGCUGGCGGCGUGCCUAAUACAUGCAAGUCGAGCGAACAGACGAGGAGCUUUCUCCUCUGACGUUAGCGGCGGACGGGUGAGUAACACGUGGAUAACCUACCUAUCAGACUUGGAUAACUUCGGGAAAACGGUGCUAAUACCGGAUAAUAUAUUCAACCGCAUGGUUCAAUAGUGAAACAAGGUUUUGCUGACACUGAUAGAUGGAUCCGCGCCGCAUUAGCUAGUUGGUAAGGUAACGGCUUACCAAGGCAACGAUGCGUAGCCGACCUGAGAGGGUGAUCGGCCACACUGGAACUGAGACACGGUCCAGACUCCUACGGGAGGCAGCAGUAGGGAAUCUUCCGCAAUGGGCGAAAGCUUGACGGAGCAACGCCGCGUGAGUGAAGAAGGUCUUCGGAUCGUAAAACUCUGUUAUUAGGGAAGAACAAAUGUGUAAGUAACUAUGCACGUCUUGACGGUACCUAAUCAGAAAGCCACGGCUAACUACGUG